This 75-nucleotide transfer RNA is filed under the name Deltaproteobacteria bacterium. RNAcentral's name for it is "tRNA-Thr". It matches the Rfam family "tRNA". Rfam says of the family: Transfer RNA (tRNA) molecules are approximately 80 nucleotides in length. Their secondary structure includes four short double-helical elements and three loops (D, anti-codon, and T loops). Further hydrogen bonds mediate the characteristic L-shaped molecular structure. tRNAs have two regions of fundamental functional importance: the anti-codon, which is responsible for specific mRNA codon recognition, and the 3' end, to which the tRNAs corresponding amino acid is attached (by aminoacyl-tRNA synthetases). tRNAs cope with the degeneracy of the genetic code in two manners: having more than one tRNA (with a specific anti-codon) for a particular amino acid; and 'wobble' base-pairing, i.e. permitting non-standard base-pairing at the 3rd anti-codon position. The record is from RNAcentral. Lineage: Bacteria; Pseudomonadati; Myxococcota; Myxococcia.
GCCGACGUAGCUCAGGGGUAGAGCAGCUGAUUCGUAAUCAGCAGGUCAUGGGUUCAAUUCCCAUCAUCGGCUCCA